AUUCCAGCUCCAAUAGCGUAUAUUAAAGUUGUUGCGGUUAAAAAGCUCGUAGUUGGAUUUCUGUCGAGAACGGCCGGUCCGCACUAUGUGCGUGUAUCUGGUUCGGUCUUGGCAUCCUCUUGGAGAACGUAACUGCGCUUGAUUGCGUGGUGCGGUAUUCAAGGCUUUUACUUUGAGGAAAUUAGAGUGCUCACGGCAGGCAAGCGCCUUGAAUAUAUUAGCAUGGAAUAAUAAUAUAGGAUCUCGGUUCUAUUUUGUUGGUUUCUAGAAUCAGGAUAAUGAUUAAUAGGGAUAAUUGGGGGCAUUUGUAUUAACGCGUCAGAGGUGGAAUUCUUGGAUUGCGUUACGACAAACUACUGCGAAAGCAUUUGCCAAGGAUGUUUUCAUCG
Molecule: ribosomal RNA, 389 nt
Filed under: Syndiniales sp.
Lineage: Eukaryota; Dinophyceae; Syndiniales
Description: partial small subunit ribosomal RNA
Rfam family: Eukaryotic small subunit ribosomal RNA
Source: RNAcentral